This 485-nucleotide long non-coding RNA is filed under the name Mustela putorius furo (domestic ferret). Its description in RNAcentral is "lncRNA (ENSMPUG00000024195.1)". The record is from RNAcentral. Lineage: Eukaryota; Metazoa; Chordata; Mammalia; Carnivora; Mustelidae.
GGAUCAUGGGUCAGCCGAAGGCAGAGGCUCUAACCCACUGAGCCACCCAGGAAAAAGAGAUGAAUGAAGGAAACUGCUGUUGGUAACAUAGCUGAGAUGUGACGGAGCCUGGACUCAAGCUCACAAAGUCAAAAUCUAAAGCCACUAUUUUCAACUACUAUGUAUACUGCUCCUUGGAGAAAAGGUGGAGUACAGAGAGUCAAAUACCCAAAUGCUGAUGAACAGAUUAUGGAGAAUCCUCUCAGAAAAUAAGAAGUCAAUUCAUGAGAUGAGUUGAGUAACAAUAAAAGUGAAACUCUUGAGAAAAGACCACACAUGAUUGAAGAUCUACACACUUUCAGAGAAGUCAAAAUUACAGCCAUCCUGUGGGCUGCCAGGAAUGCCUUCCAUGUCCAUUUCCAAGUCCAUCGUGAUAACGGCUGUUCCUACUGUGAGGCUAAGACAGACAGAAAGCUAAGACAGAGAACUAGGUGAUGGAAGAAUCU